Molecule: ribosomal RNA, 794 nt
Filed under: Latrodectus mactans (black widow)
Lineage: Eukaryota; Metazoa; Arthropoda; Arachnida; Araneae; Theridiidae
Description: SSU rRNA
Rfam family: Eukaryotic small subunit ribosomal RNA
Source: RNAcentral
GAGGAUCAAAGGCGAUCAGAUACCGCCCUAGUUCUAACCAUAAACGAUGCCAGCCAGCGAUCCGGCUGUGUUCCUCAAAUGACACGCCGGGCAGCUUCCGGGAAACCAAAGCUUUUGGGUUCCGGGGGAAGUAUGGUUGCAAAGCUGAAACUUAAAGGAAUUGACGGAAGGGCACACCACAAAUGGAGCCUGCGGCUUAAUUUGACUCAACACGGGAUAGCCUACCUGGCCCGGACACAGGAAGGAUUGACAGAUUAAGAGCUCUUUCUUGAUUCUGUGGGUUGUGGUGCAUGGUCGUUCUUAGUUGGUGGAGCGAUUUGUCUGGUUUAUUCCGAUAACGAACGAGACUCUAGCCUACUAAAUAGACGCUUCCGAUCCUUGUAGUCGGACGUUCUUCUUAGAGGGACAAGCGGUGUUUAGCCGCACGAGACAGAGCAAUAACAGGUCUGUAAUGCCCAUANAUGUUCGGGGCUGCACGCGCGCUACAAUGAAGGAAUCAGCGUGUGUUUUCCCUGUCCGACAGGACUGGGUAACCCGUUGAAACUCCUUCGUGCUGGGGAUAGGGAAUUGCAAUUGUCUUCCUUGAACCAGGAAUUCCCCGUAAGCGGUUGUCAUAAGCAAGCGUUGAUUACGUCCCUGCCCUUUGUGCACACCGCCCGUCGCUUUUACCGAUUGAAUGAUUUAGUGAGGUCUUCGGACUGGCGCUCGGAUUGGCCUUUCGGGUCGAGCCGAAGUGCCGGAAAGAUGACCAAACUUGGUCAUUUAGAGGAAAUAAAAGUCGUAACAAGGUUUCG